CACAAGACAGAACCAUUCAAAAUGUCCCUUCCCUCAAUGUCUAAGCACGGUGGAGCCCUUUUUGCCUGGCUCUGUGGAGGGAGGAUGACUGCGUGACCACAGAUGCAGUGUGGACCAGCGCCCAGCAUUCAAGGGUCCCUGCCUCAGAGGUUUCACGGGAGCACAGCUCCUCCCUGUGGCCAAAGCAGCACUUGGCCACUCACCAACCCAGUGUCAGGAUCCAGACCGGUUCCACAUCCCACAACCCUGAGCAGCAGAGAUGGGUUUCAAAGGCCAGGGGAGAAUGAAGAGGAAGGACGUGUUGGCGACAAUACAGAGAGUCAGCAGCCAGAACACCAGGUCCUAAGUUUUGUAUGCAGAGGGUGGGACUCCAGAAGGUCCAGCAGAGAACAAAUUCUGGAAGGCUGAAGACAUGGGCAGGGAUGUCAGAAGAUACUCAGGGCCGGAAGGCAUUGGCAUUCAGACCAGUCAUCCAGCUGUCGCCUUCUCUUGAGAAGAGUUCAAGAUGACAUUCAUCAGAAUUGGAGAGACACUUGCUUGUCACACUUCUUGAAGAGAAGGAGUCUACAAGGCACAAGGCUGCCUCCACCAGCUUCUCCUCAACACUUUCCAGUUUACCUAUUGCAAUGGAAUUUCAUGCCUCUCCCAA
Molecule: long non-coding RNA, 649 nt
Organism: Rhinopithecus roxellana (golden snub-nosed monkey)
Lineage: Eukaryota; Metazoa; Chordata; Mammalia; Primates; Cercopithecidae
Exons: 4
Source: RefSeq, a predicted model, not a curated record